UGAGGAAUAUUGGUCAAUGGGCGAGAGCCUGAACCAGCCAAGUCGCGUGAAGGAAGAAGGCUCUAUGGUUCGUAAACUUCUUUUGCAGGGGAAUAAAGUGCGGGACGUGUCCUGUUUUGUAUGUACGCUGAGAAUAAGGAUCGGCUAACUCCGUGCCAGCAGCCGCGGUAAUACGGAGGAUCCGAGCGUUAUCCGGAUUUAUUGGGUUUAAAGGGUGCGUAGGUGGUUUGAUAAGUCAGCGGUGAAAGUUUGCAGCUUAACUGUAAAAAUGCCGUUGAAACUGUCGGACUUGAGUGUAGAUGAGGUAGGCGGAAUGCGUGGUGUAGCGGUGAAAUGCAUAGAUAUCACGCAGAACUCCGAUUGCGAAGGCAGCUUACUAAGCUACAACUGACACUGAAGCACGAAAGCGUGGGGAUCAAACA
RNAcentral lists this ribosomal RNA (422 nucleotides) under uncultured prokaryote. RNAcentral's name for it is "bacterial SSU rRNA". It matches the Rfam family "Bacterial small subunit ribosomal RNA", at positions 355 to 774 of the family's 1533-position model. The record is from RNAcentral.